Kogia breviceps (pygmy sperm whale) is the source of this 109-nucleotide small nuclear RNA. Lineage: Eukaryota; Metazoa; Chordata; Mammalia; Artiodactyla; Physeteridae. The record is from RefSeq and is a predicted model, not a curated record.
AUGCUGUCACUUUGGCAGCACAUGUACUAAAACUGGAAUGACACAGAGAAGAUUAGCAUGUCCCCUGUGGAAGGAUGACACGCAAAUUCAUGAAGUGUUCCAUAUUUUU